This 1002-nucleotide small RNA is filed under the name Oryza sativa Japonica Group (Japanese rice). RNAcentral describes it as "sRNA Os06g0480500". The record is from RNAcentral. Lineage: Eukaryota; Viridiplantae; Streptophyta; Magnoliopsida; Poales; Poaceae.
UCCGCCCGCUCCACCGUCUCCUCCGCUCGUCGCCUCGUCGGCGCGCGUUGCGAUGCGCGGUGGUGCCGUACGGCUGUCCCCCGCCCCGCUAGCCGCUGCCGCCUCCCCGCUGCCGCAGGGCCGGGCCACAUGGCCCCCGGUGGUGGUGUACUGUUCGCCGGUACGUCCGUCUGCUCGGAGGAGGGGCAGGAUGAGGAUGAGGAGGUAGCGCAUCGGCGGCGGCGGCGGCGCGACGAUGCGGGCACCGAAAAGCGCGCGCGAAGCCUGUACUAAGCUCUACAGAAUGUGCUCUGGUUGGAAGGCUAUCUUAAACCGUGGCGUGUAACAGUUGGAGUUUACAUCCUGCAUCUUUCUGUACUUCGAAAAUGACUAAAGCUGGAGCCACUUGAGAUGAGAUGAUAGUGGGAAGCAUCUUUGAAUGGAAGUAUCAUGCUUUUUUAAUGAUGUGGACUGCUCAGGAAAAUCUUCUGUUCAAUCUAAUUCAUGCUGCUUGACCUUACAAGGUACCUCAAGCCCCAGUGAUGGUUGGUGCUCACCUAGGGCUAGCCUCAAGCUCCAGCUAGCUCCACCAACUUCAAUUUCCAGCAUCCAACAAGUACCCUACAUACACUAGAUUAUAUACAUAACAUGGUUGUGAUCGUGAUGGAGACGACGAUCCUGCUGCUGUCCUAGCUGCUACAAAAUCUUUAUUACUCCGAUGACGGAUGACGACGACGAUGAUUAUGAUGAGCCUUCUUCUCCAGCUUGCUAGAAGGCGAAUUCAGAAGUAAUAAGGAGAAGGGGUCCGAGACAUCAUCAACCUCCCCAUGGGGAAUACUGUUGUUUGCGUCUUUCGUUGUACUGCUCUCGUGUCUCCAUGUCUACGUGUGUUUGUAGUAUUGUGACCCACCCACGAGGCUUGUCGAUCGUUGGCUGCCGGCUGGAGAUACGCUGGCCAGCUGAUGGCCGAUGUACGUUAAUUGUCCGUCUUCUCUGCAUGUCUAAUCUAUCAAAUAUCUAUCC